RNAcentral lists this long non-coding RNA (1491 nucleotides) under Equus caballus (horse). RNAcentral's name for it is "lncRNA (ENSECAG00000045246.1)". Lineage: Eukaryota; Metazoa; Chordata; Mammalia; Perissodactyla; Equidae. The record is from RNAcentral.
UUCCAAGAUGGACAUGGGCUUAGAGGGGAAAUUUUAGAAAAAAUCUUGAAAGGAAAAGUUUAAAUUGGGAAAUAAAGAUGCUAAAAUCACACAGCGUGGUUUGGUAGCUGUAGAGAAAAGACCUGCUUCAUCAUUUUCCUCGGAAAAACUUGCCAGAGCACAACUAACCCAGGGCGUAGCUGGACAACGUGAAAAUGACCAAGCUUCUUAACUCAGGCCCGUAUCGCAGAGCUGGGUGCUGAGGAUGGAGGGAACGAAUCCAGCGCUGGGUGAAACGUCCACUGACUCCGCCCUGUCGAGGCCCCUGACUACCAAGAAAUCCAGGAGCAGAACGGGUGUUCCUGGAUGAUGCCCAGCUCUCAUUCACAGGUGCUGCACAUUUCUCCACCAGGAAGAAAGACAAUGAGCUUUACCCAUGUGUUUUCACGUAUAAAGUCAAAUCAGGGUCCAGGGAGUAAAGUGAAAGAAAAACUUGGAGGGGCUGACUCAGUCCUCUGCUAGAUACUUCUUUCCGUAUUUUCAAAUGUAAGAAGGAGGCUACAGGAAAUGAAACAAGCAGUCUAAUGGAGAUUGAUCAGGUCCCUAAAUGCAGGCGCAGGUGGGCAGCUGGUCAGGAAGGGGCCUUGAGCCUCAGCUGCGGAAGAGGCUUGGUCUGGCGACUAAUAUUUAAUCAGCAUCUACUAUGGAUAGGACACUGUGAAGGGCGAUUUUCACACCUGAUCCAUCACAACCCUGCAAGAGUGGGGGCUGUCCGUUGGACCUGUGAGAAGAGGAUCUCCAUGAAGACCUGUUGGAGAACCUCCACAAAGGGCAUUUACCCUCUGCCUCCUUCCCCAGCUUAGAUCUCAGAAGUUGCCCAUAUUUCCUUCUCUCCUCAUUUGCUUCAUAUGAAAUCUGGAGCCUGUUUUCAUUAUUUUCAUUCCCAGUCUGAACACUUCUUCCAUCCCAAACCCCUACUUCUGUUCCACCGUUAUGAAAACACCUGUCUUCCACAAUCUGGUCUUCUAACAAGUUGUGUUGGGAAAAGGCAGUGCCCGCUGACCUCGGUGCAAAUUAAAACGUUUCAAAGAGUCCGAGUCUUAGAGUUGUCAGACCUCCGUCUCCAUGAGGAGGAACUCAAUUUUCACUCAUACCCCAGCAAGAGAUUAGCAGCUUGAAAUCACUUUGACAGUGUCGGUUGCUCUAUCGCAUACCACAGGGAAUUUUAAUUCCAGCCUGUGAAAUUGUAAUUGCUUUUCGAGGAGAAGUGAGGAAUCCUGGGCAAUGGCCACAGCCAAGCUCAGUGUCAGAGUUGCCAGUUGCUGCCACAUCAGAUAUUACUUGCUGUUAUUCAAAAAUCACUCCAGGUUUCCAUAUGGGAAGUUGCACUGGGGAGUGAAAGAAAAUUAACAGAAACUGUCAGCUGUUCAGAACGGCACAGACAGCAGUGUGACAGAGGUGGGUGACCUCCCAUCAAAAAAAGGUAACUUUUUCCCUUUUUGGGGUGAAGAU